ACGGGAGGCAGCAGUGAGGAAUAUUGGUCAAUGGGCGAGAGCCUGAACCAGCCAAGUCGCGUGAAGGAUGAAGGUUCUAUGGAUUGUAAACUUCUUUUAUUCGAGGGUAAAGUGGCGGACGUGUCCGUUAUUGCAAGUAUCGAAUGAAUAAGCAUCGGCUAACUCCGUGCCAGCAGCCGCGGUAAUACGGAGGAUGCGAGCGUUAUCCGGAUUUAUUGGGUUUAAAGGGUGCGUAGGCGGGCGAUUAAGUCAGCGGUGAAAGCGUGUGGCUCAACCAUACCAAGCCGUUGAAACUGGUUGUCUUGAGUGUAAACGAGGUAGGCGGAAUGUGACGUGUAGCGGUGAAAUGCUUAGAUAUGUCACAGAACCCCGAUUGCGAAGGCAGCUUACCAGCAUACGACUGACGCUGAGGCACGAAAGUGUGGGGAUCAAACAGGAUUAGAUACCCUGGUA
Molecule: ribosomal RNA, 453 nt
Filed under: uncultured Porphyromonadaceae bacterium
Lineage: Bacteria; Pseudomonadati; Bacteroidota; Bacteroidia; Bacteroidales; Porphyromonadaceae
Description: bacterial SSU rRNA
Rfam family: Bacterial small subunit ribosomal RNA
Source: RNAcentral